GGCCAUGGUCAUACUCUCACAAACAGCUGCCAUCUGACUACCCCUUAGAUCUAGAGGUACCACCUAUCAGAGAUAUCACCUUCCCUUGAAAGAAUGGACCCAAGGGUAAGAUCCGUGAACAUGCUGAAAAUACAACUGGGACCAUGUGAAAAGGAAAUUCUGAAGUGUCAGGUACCUAAGCACAGACCAGUGGGAUCUGGGAGCAGAAUGCAAAUAUCCAACUCCUCUUAGUCUACACCUUUGAGAACUAAAGGGAGAAGGAAGAAGAGGUCAACUGGAGUCAGAAAAAAGACUAAUGGACCUCUGGAAUAGCAACACUCUUUGGAACAUCUUUGUUCUUCAGCCUGUUAACUGAAGCAAAUUCAAGGCAAGACACCUCUCAGAUCCAUUUCAGACUGGCAUGCCACCAACUUGGAGAUGAAUGGAAUCAGAAACAAAAGGCCUUAUCAUCAUGGCAAGCAUACGAAGAUAAAGGCUAGAGAGAUACGGCAAAUUUUAUCCUAAGAGUAUAGAUGCGAGACUCACCCUGGAACUCUGUAGAUAACUGGUUUUACUGAGUAAAAAAGGCCUCCUAAUUCAACUUACCUGGACAAAAAAAAUAAAGUGCUUGAAAGAUGUAUUGAGAUGUGCUUCCUCCUGAAGCUGGAUCACAGGGUCGAAAUGCUGAUGAUAAAUGUGAGCAUAAACCCUAAAGAGGCGUUUGAGGAUAGUUUUUGCCACAGACAUGAAAUUCUUCGGGAAUGGGACACCUAAUAAAUAGAUAAAUAACCCUCUCUAUUAACAAGAGACAAGAACAAGGUAGUAUGAGUUUAUCAACAAAAGGCAAUAUAAAGUAACAAGACGAAGCUCAAAAGUAUUUGUGAAUUAUUACCAAAUACCCACUGUACUU
Canis lupus familiaris (dog) is the source of this 889-nucleotide long non-coding RNA. RefSeq lists it as uncharacterized. The transcript is spliced from 3 exons. Lineage: Eukaryota; Metazoa; Chordata; Mammalia; Carnivora; Canidae. The record is from RefSeq and is a predicted model, not a curated record.